This 74-nucleotide transfer RNA is filed under the name Pseudomonadota bacterium. Its description in RNAcentral is "tRNA-Arg". It matches the Rfam family "tRNA". From Rfam's summary of the family: Transfer RNA (tRNA) molecules are approximately 80 nucleotides in length. RNAcentral also lists the same sequence under 1 other name. Lineage: Bacteria; Pseudomonadati; Pseudomonadota. The record is from RNAcentral.
GCGCCCGUAGCUCAAUUGGACAGAGCAUCUGGCUUCGGACCAGAGGGUUGGAGGUUCGAGUCCCCCCGGGCGCG